CACCUCCCUGGGCUCCAGGCUCCAGGUUGCUGGGCUCCAGCCAGGCUGUGAUGUAAUCCUCCCAGGGACCACAGUAGCUAAGAGCCUCCACAGAGCAGAAACCUGCCGGAAGCAGAGUGGGACUGGAAGGUCGUGUGGGCAGGCGGGGCCCCCUCAGGGAAGCAAACCCGAGGGGCUCCUUGGGGGACAAGGAGAAGGACGAUCACCACCCUCAGCCUGGUGGCUGAUGCCACCCGAAGAGGGUGGGUCCAGGAGGGGACUCCCAGUUUUGUGAGGCCACCGACCAUCUAUGGCCCUCGGGGGUGUCGACCUGGGGUCUGGGCUGGAGGUAAUCCACUUGGGGGUCAUCUAACUGCAGCUGGGACCACCCAUGGAGUUGAUCCAAGAGAUAAACGGUGGAGACCAGAGGCUUGAACCUGGGUCCUUGUGCACUGCAAUGUGCUUCAAAGCGUCAAAGCGUCAAAGGCAGAAGGAAGGCUUCUCUCUCACUGUGUGGUGGUGGUAUAUACCUGCUUAAACUCUCAACCACACAUGGACAGACACUUGGACUGCUUCCACGUUUCAGCUUCUGGGAAUAAAACCAGUGCAGGGAACCUGUAGAUUCUGCUCACCUGGGAUGCCCGGUCCUGGGGGCACGGCAGAGCUAGGAAAUUCUAGCUUGUUGGGCUCAGGACACAGCUAUCUGGAGGGCCUUCUGCCUGCUUCCUGUCAGAUGCCAGCCCCCGUCCAAGGCCCAUCUGUCCUCCUCCGUCACCGCUUACGUCCCAGCAGCCCAGCACUGACUGACCAGACGUCCCGGGUACCCGGUGCCAGAUUCCUCCCCACCUGCUGCUGCACCUGGCUGCAUGCCUGCCCCCAUCUGGCCCAGACACGGUGGCUGGAGUGAGCUUCACCAGGUGGAGAUGACAGCCAGUGGCUUUGCCACGAGCCUGGGCGGCCCUGGGCUUCCUGCAGGUGUGGUUCCUUCUGCCUCGUGUCCUUGCUCACACGGUUCAUCUGCCAACUCCUAUGCAGCCAACAACACCCUUGCUUGGAAGUCACCCCCACUGGGAAGUCUUCAGCCUCCCGAGAGGUGAAGUCAACCCACUCAGGCCGAACAGAGGGGGGCUGCUGUCCGCUGAGGGAAAGGACACUGGACACUUGGGGACACUGCCCACACCUGCACUGCCUUCUGGCCGUCACCAGUGGGGGCCUGGACCCUCUGCGGGCAUGUACAGGUCUUGUGGAAAAUUCACGGGGGUGGCUGAGCUGAUAAUCAGAAGUGCUACAAAGCAGGGAACCCCCAUAUUUCAGUUUGGAUCUGAAUUGGGGGGUAAGACUUGGGGGAAGGUACCUUCCUUAAAAUCUUUGAU
Long non-coding RNA from Erinaceus europaeus (western European hedgehog), 1352 nucleotides. RefSeq lists it as uncharacterized. NCBI's taxonomy places the organism in Eukaryota, Metazoa, Chordata, Mammalia, Eulipotyphla, Erinaceidae. The transcript is spliced from 5 exons. The record is from RefSeq and is a predicted model, not a curated record.